GCCCCUUUGGUGGAAUUGGUAGACACACGGCACUCAAAAUGCCGCGCCGAAAGGCAUCCCGGUUCGAGUCCGGGAGGGGGCACCA
RNAcentral lists this transfer RNA (85 nucleotides) under Caulobacteraceae bacterium. RNAcentral's name for it is "tRNA-Leu". It matches the Rfam family "tRNA". Rfam says of the family: Transfer RNA (tRNA) molecules are approximately 80 nucleotides in length. Their secondary structure includes four short double-helical elements and three loops (D, anti-codon, and T loops). Further hydrogen bonds mediate the characteristic L-shaped molecular structure. tRNAs have two regions of fundamental functional importance: the anti-codon, which is responsible for specific mRNA codon recognition, and the 3' end, to which the tRNAs corresponding amino acid is attached (by aminoacyl-tRNA synthetases). tRNAs cope with the degeneracy of the genetic code in two manners: having more than one tRNA (with a specific anti-codon) for a particular amino acid; and 'wobble' base-pairing, i.e. permitting non-standard base-pairing at the 3rd anti-codon position. The record is from RNAcentral. Lineage: Bacteria; Pseudomonadati; Pseudomonadota; Alphaproteobacteria; Caulobacterales; Caulobacteraceae.